Molecule: non-coding RNA, 960 nt
Organism: Arachis ipaensis
Lineage: Eukaryota; Viridiplantae; Streptophyta; Magnoliopsida; Fabales; Fabaceae
Source: RefSeq, a predicted model, not a curated record
AUGCAGAAUAAUAUCUAAUUGAAUUCUCAUUCUCAGGAUGAAGUACAACUGUCCAAGUAUGGUACUACCGUACUAUGUGUCACAUCUUAAUAUAUUUAUUAAUGUAAUUUAAAAUUUUAAAGUCAUUUCUAUUUUAUAUACAAUUAAUAGUUGAGAAUCUUUAAAUGAUGAUUUAGUGAAUUUUUACUCAACUUAUAUUACUCUUAUGAGAUUUUAAAAUUGAUAAUUUUAUUAGAUGAUAUGAGAUAUUUAAAAUAGAUAAUGUGUUAAACUUAAAGCUCGAAAAUAAAUGUUUUUUUUCCUAGUGCUUUGUGAUUAUGAAAACUGAGUUUCUCUUUUCUCCUUUUUUUUCCGGAUGAACAAAACCAAUAUUAAAGAAAGAAAACAUGACCAACCCCAUGAAGGAAAUUCUUCCAUGUAACAGACUAACAGUAUUAUUUAAUUCCGCAGCUAAAAUUAUUGAUUUAUUUAUCUAUAAGUACAUCCACUAUACAAAAGUCGGAUGAAGCAUCUUUCUCUCACUACAUAUGAUUAUCAGCAUCAUUACAAUGCUAUUACCUCCCGACAAGUUACGCUGACACAUACAACUGCUGAAACACUCAAGCUACAAGUACAAAUUGAUUCCAACUACGAGGCCAGGGGGCCAACUACACAACAUCUAAGUUACUGCACAGAAUUUAAUACAUUCUGGUAAAUCCUACUUUCCUUAGAUUCCGCAGUCGGCACGAAACUGUCGUCUCUGCGCAACUUGCAGGAAGGAAUGUUGAGUGGAAAACAUCACAAGUAAAACAGUUACAUGAGAGUAGUUGCAGACUUUGCAGACCAACAUUCCUACAAAGGCAGAGAAUUUUAUCGAUUGAGGCAAAGUGGAAGCUUUUAAAUUAACCCUGCACCAAAUAGUAACAUGCCUUCGGUCAUGCUACGAAACUUCAGCACGAUGGCAACUCUGCAUGUUAGCAA